Xylaria cubensis is the source of this 111-nucleotide non-coding RNA. NCBI's taxonomy places the organism in Eukaryota, Fungi, Ascomycota, Sordariomycetes, Xylariales, Xylariaceae. The record is from the annotation of a GenBank genome assembly.
CCCAGAGUGGUGUACUGGAAGCACGCCAAGGUGACAGUUAAGCCCCUCUUCACUGAGAGCUUAAUCCCUUCGGGGGCGGAGGAGAUCCAGGUUCGAUCCCUGGCUCUGGGA